AGAGUUUGAUCCUGGCUCAGGACGAACGCUGGCGGCGUGCUUAACACAUGCAAGUCGAACGGAUCUUCAGCUUUCGGGUUGUUGGUUAGUGGCGAACGGGUGAGUAACACGUGAGUAACCUGCCCUUCACUUUGGGAUAACUGUGGGAAAUUGUAGCUAAUACCGGAUAUUCAUUUCUUGUCGCAUGACGGGUGAUGGAAAGAUUUUUUGGUGGGGGAUGGGCUCGCGGCCUAUCAGCUUGUUGGUGGGGUGAUGGCCUACCAAGGCUUUGACGGGUAGCCGGCCUGAGAGGGCGACCGGCCACACUGGGACUGAGAUACGGCCCAGACUCCUACGGGAGGCAGCAGUGGGGAAUAUUGCACAAUGGACGGAAGUCUGAUGCAGCAACGCCGCGUGCGGGAUGACGGCCUUCGGGUUGUAAACCGCUUUCACUAGGGGCGAAUUUGGACGGUACCUGGGGAAGAAGCACCGGCUAACUACGUGCCAGCAGCCGCGGUGAUACGUAGGGUGCGAGCGUUGUCCGGAUUUGUUGGGCGUAAAGAGCUCGUAGGUGGUUUGUUGCGUCGGGAGUGAAAACCUGCGGCUUAACUGUGUGCUUGCUUUCGAUACGGGCAGACUUGAGGAAGGUAGGGGAGAGCGGAAUUCCUGGUGGAGCGGUGGAAUGCGCAGAUAUCAGGAUGAACACCGGUGGCGAAGGCGGUUCUCUGGACCUUUCCUGACGCUGAGGAGCGAAAGCGUGGGGAGCGAACAGGCUUAGAUACCCUGGUAGUCCACGCCGUAAACGGUGGGCACUAGGUGUGGGGGACAUUCCACGUUCUCUGUGCCGUAGCUAACGCAUUAAGUGCCCCGCCUGGGGAGUACGGCCGCAAGGCUAAAACUCAAAGGAAUUGACGGGGGCCCGCACAAGCGGCGGAGCAUGCGGAUUAAUUCGAUGCAACGCGAAGAACCUUACCUGGGUUUGACAUCUGCCGGAAGCAUC
Molecule: ribosomal RNA, 979 nt
Filed under: uncultured bacterium
Lineage: Bacteria
Description: bacterial SSU rRNA
Rfam family: Bacterial small subunit ribosomal RNA
Source: RNAcentral